UCUGGGAAAGUUGGCACAUGAUUUUUCACCACCCUGUGAGAAAGUUCCACGCGGCAGCUUUGCAUUGGGGCUUGGGAUGCUUUAUUAAGGCUGGGAGGGGCAUCCGAGAGAGAGAAGAAGAAAUAUCAAGGGCCUGAAUAAACUGCUGAAAGAAGAUUCCUGAGUUGCGUCUUCCUUGCGGGCAAGGGGUCGCGACAAGUGGUGCCGAAACCCGGGAACCAGAACUUUCAACAGUCAGGGGUGGUGCACCGGUUAGUCCCAGGUAAGUGGGAUCUGCGAUCAAAGCGGGGUUAGUCCCUAGUAAGUGGGAUCCGCGACCAAAGCGGGACAGCUCCUCUGUAAUGAAAGAGAGAGCCUUACAUUUUAUUGCAGCUGCACUGUGUACUUUCGCUCCUACUUUCGCUUUCUUUCUUUUGUGCUUUCUUUGUUGUUGUGUCAUGGGUGCCGCAUCUUCAAGUCCGCUUCUCCUGGCCCUAGAUGGCCUGUUACGUUCCAAGGGACUGGAAGUGAAACAUAGUACUUUACAGAGAUUUUUACAGAAGAUAGAUAUCGCUGCACCGUGGUUUGCAUUUUCGGGCAGCCUUACUGUGCCUAGUUGGGAUAAAUUAGGCAAAGAUCUUGACUUUGCUUCUGAGCAGGGCAUAUUAGAGGGUGGGGUGAUACCCCUUUGGAAAAUGGUCCGUGGUUGCCUUACAGAUGGUAAAUGCCAGGAAGCUGUGAGUGAGGGUCAAGCUAUUCUUGAGCAAUUGCAUGAGGAAAAAUCUGAAGGAUCAUGUAGUGAAGUGGCAGAGAGUAUUAAAAGUAACAGUAGUGAGAAGGCAAAAGAGCCUGAAGAUAAAAAUAGGAGAAGGCUCUACCCAGACUUGACCGAAUUAAAAACGCCUGAGAACACAAGCGACUCAGAGAGUUCUGAGGACCUUGAUAUAUUGUUACAACAACUACAUAAGAUAAAAAUGAAAAAGAAGAAAAAGGAGACACAGGGCACGCAGGCCUACUGUAAGAAGGGGAAGGGAGUUAACAUCGGUCAACAAAACUCUGAGGAGGAGGAGGUAGAAUAUCUAGAAGAAGAUAUGGUGCCGAUUGCCCCACCUCCGUAUGUGGGGGGGAGCCAAGGUUCCGGGAGAUCUUUUCAUGCACAAGUUUGGAGGACAGUUAAUACAGAUAUGGGACUUGCAUACCCUGUAUUUCAGGACAAUAACAGGGGAAGAUAUCAUGAGCCUUUAGACUUUAAGAUAAUUAAAACCUUGGCAGAAUCUGUCCGCACUUAUGGCAUAGAUGCCGCUUUCACUCUCACUCAGGUGGAGGGACUUACUAGAUUUUGCAUGACUCCCUCAGAUUGGGCUAGUCUAGUCCGCGCUUGUGUUUCCCCAGGGAAAUAUUAGGAGUCCAAAGUUGGCUGUUUAAUGUUUCUGGCAGUACCCAAGACUCGGAGCGAGGUAGGAGGCUUAAAAUUUCUGCAAAUAAUUCACAAUUAUCUAAUGCUACAUUACCCUCCGCAGCAGUCUGUCUCCAAUCUCCGUUCCUGUUUCUUUUGGCUAAUGUUACAUUACAGGGGAUGCUUAAUUGUUCUAAUAUUACCUGUUAUUUGUCUGAGUGUUGGAAUGGCUCCUGGACUACGGCAAUGGUUAUGAAAUUUCCAACCUUUGUCCCGAUCCCGGUUACUGCAGAUCCAGAGUCAUUUCCUAUUGUUGAACUGAUUAGAGCCCGUAGAGAUUUUGGAAUUACGGCAGCUAUAGUGACAGCUGUGGCAGUGUCUGCUGCUGCAGCAGUUACAGCUGGAGUAGCCAUGGCCAGCCAGGUACAAACUGCUGCCACUAUUAAUCAGGUUAUUCAACAAACAUCCACCAUACUUGAAUCUCAAAGUAGAAUUAAUCAACACAUUCUAUCUGGGAUUUUGGCUGCUAAUCAAAGGAUAGAUCUGCUUCAAGCUCAAGUUGAGGAAUUGUCUGACCUAGUACAUUUGGGUUGUAUUGAUCAACGUGCACAUUUAUGUAUAACCUCUGUCAGAUUUUAUGAUUCCAGAAAUGCCUCCCACAUCAUCGGGGAGUAUCCAUCCGGAACCUGGUCCAUGGAAGCAGAAAACAUGAUCCAGUCUCAACUAACCCAGAUAGCUGUCUUGAACAGUACCCGUGUCGAUCCCGUGACUUUGGGUCAAUUCACC
Molecule: long non-coding RNA, 2161 nt
Filed under: Marmota monax (woodchuck)
Lineage: Eukaryota; Metazoa; Chordata; Mammalia; Rodentia; Sciuridae
Source: RNAcentral